AAAAAAUCCCGAAAUUGUAAGUAAAUUCAUAACAUGUAACCAACCAUGCUUUGUUAAGAAAAAACGGAGAUGGCCAAUCAUGGCACAGGGGAUGAUUAAAUGUAGAUUAUAAACUCCAACGAUAUACUGCAUGAGGUUUUGCUAUUCUCGGUUGAAAAACGAACGUAAAUUAUAUAUUGUAAAUAUUAGACCGUUGGUUUCCCCGUUUGAAUGGUUUUACACUAGUAAUUUUGGGGCCCUUUAUAGCUUGUUGUUUAGUGUGAGCCAAGGCUCUGUGUUGAAAGCCGUACAUUGACCUUUAAUGGUUUACUUUUAUAAAUUGUUAUUUGGAUGGAGGUUUGUCCCAUUGGCACUCACACCACAUCUUCCUAUAUCUAUGUAAAUAGGAACAAACAGUUUUUAAAAAAGUGUUUAUUCAUUAAAUCAUGUAAAUGUAUUGAUAAAAGGUGAGUUUCUUCUUGUACAUGCA
Molecule: long non-coding RNA, 469 nt
Filed under: Mytilus galloprovincialis (Mediterranean mussel)
Lineage: Eukaryota; Metazoa; Mollusca; Bivalvia; Mytilida; Mytilidae
Source: RNAcentral